UUAACAUAACUUUUAUUUCUGAAUAUUCUAUUUUUAAGUGGUAGAACCUGCAGAUUCUUUCACAAAACACUUAUCAAUUCUUAUAAAUAAUGGUAAAUUCCCUUUGAAUCCAGAAAAAGUACACAGGAACAUUUUACACACCCAAGUCAAACCCCAAGGCCAAUUUGAAUAAAGUGAAAUUUGGUUAACAUGACAAGUUAACUUUUGUCAUCCUUUACUGAAAUAAUUUUUUGACAGCAUUUUUUAUAUGUUGGAAAUAGGUG
This 263-nucleotide long non-coding RNA is filed under the name Homo sapiens (human). RNAcentral describes it as "LHRI_LNC1469.1". Lineage: Eukaryota; Metazoa; Chordata; Mammalia; Primates; Hominidae. The record is from RNAcentral.